RNAcentral lists this ribosomal RNA (406 nucleotides) under uncultured bacterium. RNAcentral describes it as "partial 16S ribosomal RNA". It matches the Rfam family "Bacterial small subunit ribosomal RNA", at positions 30 to 526 of the family's 1533-position model. The record is from RNAcentral.
AUUGAACGCUGGCGGCAUGCCUAACACAUGCAAGUCGAACGAGUGGCGGACGGGUGAGUAAUGUCUGGGAAACUGCCUGAUGGCGGGGGAUAACUACUGGAAACGGUGGCUAAUACCGCAUACCAUCGGAUGUGCCCAGAUGGGAUUAGCUUGUUGGUGGGGUAACGGCUCACCAAGGCGACGAUCCCUAGCUGGUUUGAGAGGAUGACCAGCCACACUGGAACUGAGACACGGCCCAGACUCCUACGGGAGGCAGCAGUGGGGAAUAUUGCACAAUGGGCGAAAGCCUGAUGCAGCCAUGCCGCGUGUAUGAAGAAGGCCUUCGGGUUGUAAAGUACUUUCAGCGGGGAGGCGUUACCUGCAGAAGAAGCACCGGCUAACUCCGUGCCAGCAGCCGCGGUAAUUC